Morus notabilis is the source of this 380-nucleotide long non-coding RNA. RefSeq lists it as uncharacterized. The record is from RefSeq and is a predicted model, not a curated record. Lineage: Eukaryota; Viridiplantae; Streptophyta; Magnoliopsida; Rosales; Moraceae. The transcript is spliced from 3 exons.
UGCAGUAAAACCCCGUUAGAAAAUCGGGCGGGCUUGUCCAGAACUGGGUUAGGGUUCAAGUCAGUCAGCGCUAAACCCCGCAAAUCCCUUCCCUCUCUUGAAUCUCGUUUCUCUCUCCUCUCACCAAAAACCCUCCAUUGUUUGUUUGUUCCUCUCUCUGAGAGAAAUACCACGAAAAAAUGAGCUCUUGGAAGACUCUUCUUCUUCGAAUCGGCGACAAAUGCCCAGAGUACGGCCCCUCCUCCGACUUCAAAGACCAUGUUGAAACAUGCUAUGGCGUGCUUCGGCGAGAGCUCGAGCCCUCUUCUAAUGACAUUUUGCCCCUCCUUCUUCAGUGUGCUGAACAAUUGCCUCACAAGAUUCCCUUUUAUGCGACAGUG